This 460-nucleotide ribosomal RNA is filed under the name uncultured bacterium. RNAcentral describes it as "partial 16S ribosomal RNA". It matches the Rfam family "Bacterial small subunit ribosomal RNA", at positions 338 to 795 of the family's 1533-position model. The record is from RNAcentral.
CCUACGGGUGGCAGCAGUGAGGAAUAUUGGUCAAUGGGCGAGAGCCUGAACCAGCCAAGUAGCGUGCGGGAUGAAUGCCCUAUGGGUUGUAAACUUCUUUUAUAAGGGAAUAAAACGAGGCACGUGUGCAUUUUUGCAUGUACUUUAUGAAUAAGGAUCGGCUAAAUCCGUGCCAGCAGCCGCGGUAAUACGGAGGAUCCGAGCGUUAUCCGGAUUUAUUGGGGUUAAAGGGAGCGUAGAUGGGUUGUUAAGUCAAUUGUGAAAGUUUGCCGCUCAACCGGAAAAUUGCAAUUGAUACUGGCAGUCUUGAGUACAGUAGAGGGAGGCGGAAUUCGUGGUGUAGCGGUGAAAUGCGUAGAUAUCACGAGGAACCCCGAUUGCGAAGGCAGCUUACUAAACUGUGACUGACAUUGAGGCUCGAAAGUGUGGGUAUCAAACAGGAUUAGAUACCCUGGUAGUC